Long non-coding RNA from Hyalella azteca, 247 nucleotides. RefSeq lists it as uncharacterized. The transcript has 3 exons. Lineage: Eukaryota; Metazoa; Arthropoda; Malacostraca; Amphipoda; Hyalellidae. The record is from RefSeq and is a predicted model, not a curated record.
CUGGUUGCGCCUGGGACGACGUUCCCCAGCGCUCAGUACGCCGACGUCAUCAACGUGUGUCAGCUCUACGGACGCAUCCUGCAAAUGUGUGAGUUCGAAGGCCAGCUGUACGAUCUGAACGAAAUGAUCGGGUGUCUUCUCUGUACCACUGUCGGCGUCACGUACGGUGAUACGGUCGUCGGAGACGUGUUCCUCACCAAGAACCGAACAGCCAACGGGUCUCUGGCGAACCAGUGGCAGCUCUGCA